AGAGUUUGAUCCUGGCUCAGAAUCAACGCUGGCGGCGUGCCUAACACAUGCAAGUCGAACGCGAAAGCCCGCAAGGGUAAGUAGAGUGGCGCACGGGUGAGUAACACGUGGACAACCUGCCUUCGAGUGGGGAAUAACCUUCCGAAAGGAGGGCUAAUACCGCAUAACACCUCGGGACACAAGUUCUGGGGUUGAAAAGAGCAAUUUGCUCGAAGAGGGGUCCGCGCCUGAUUAGCUAGUUGGUGAGGUAACGGCUCACCAAGGCUUCGAUCAGUAGCCGUCCUGAGAGGGAGCACGGCCACACUGGAACUGAGACACGGUCCAGACUCCUACGGGAGGCAGCAGUGGGGAAUUUUUGGCAAUGGGCGAAAGCCUGACCAAGCAACGCCGCGUGGGUGAUGAAGUAUCUUGGUACGUAAAACCCUUUCGGCAGGGACGAAAAAAAUGACGGUACCACUAAAGAGC
Molecule: ribosomal RNA, 465 nt
Filed under: uncultured Acidobacteriaceae bacterium
Lineage: Bacteria; Pseudomonadati; Acidobacteriota; Terriglobia; Terriglobales; Acidobacteriaceae
Description: bacterial SSU rRNA
Rfam family: Bacterial small subunit ribosomal RNA
Source: RNAcentral